Long non-coding RNA from Papaver somniferum (opium poppy), 1052 nucleotides. RefSeq lists it as uncharacterized. The transcript is spliced from 5 exons. Lineage: Eukaryota; Viridiplantae; Streptophyta; Magnoliopsida; Ranunculales; Papaveraceae. The record is from RefSeq and is a predicted model, not a curated record.
UUAUCCCUAGACACAGAGAGAAAUCUCCAUCGCUCACACCACCCAGUCUCCAACUCCAUCUCCAUCGCCUCCACCACAACCAGCACCUCCACCUCCGCUGCACUCUUCAAUUCGAAACAUGUUAGUCGACCUGUAUUCAUUUUGGAGCGAGUUUUCGUUGGAAUAAUUGAGAAAGGAAUGAAUUUUAACUAGAGACUAGACUAGCCGAAGAAUCAAUUUAGAGUCUGAGAUCGAGAAAAAUUCAUUAUUAUCAGUAGUUCAUCAUGAAGGUUAAGGAGAGAUCUCAUCUAACGAAUCAAUUUCUGGUAAUUCAAUUAUUAUUUUUAGAUUCGAUCUACAAAUUUAGACCUAAAUUCAUAAAAUCAAGAUCAGAACUGGAAAAUGAAUGAGACGGAUAUCCGUAAAAUUAAUGAUAUGGUUUGGAGAUUGAUUUGAAUACCAAAUGAAAUGAAUAUCAAAUAAAAAGUGAAGGCAGUAGUGGUGGUUGUUGUGCUUGUUCUGGUGGUGGUGGUGGAUAUUUGUUUUGCAGUGGAGGUGAUGGUGUGGAUUCGUAGUAGUCAUAGAAGUGGUAGCUGAUAGUGGAGUAGUUAAGGAUUCCCACUUGAUAAUAGGCAUAGACUGAUAUAAGUAAGAUGAAAAAUGCUUCCACAUCUUUUUUUUGAGCGACGGUCGGUCUUCACACAGCAGGAGAUAUUGGUUUUCAUCUGCACAAGGUGUAUAUAGCUGCAUUGAUGUUCCCCUCUAGUCACUGUGGUGUGAACUGAUUCAGAAGUCGCUGGUUGGGGAAUUAUUGAUUCCCUGACACCACAAUGAAGUGCUCAAACACUAUUCCCAAGAGCAUCAUGGAGCUGAGAAGGAUGGCUAUUGGCUAACCAGUUUAUAUUUGGAUUCUCUUCCAUAUUCUUUCAGCAAUGAUGGAGGUAGUGGAUGUCACAAUGGAGGUGGUUUGUUAAGCUAAUCACAAAUCAUGAGUGGUUAUACUAAUCACACGUAUUGGUCGUUCACAAGAUAUGCAAUGAAUAACAAUACUAAUAAGCCUGGCGAUUUCCUUU